Non-coding RNA from Dermacentor albipictus, 2768 nucleotides. The record is from RefSeq and is a predicted model, not a curated record. NCBI's taxonomy places the organism in Eukaryota, Metazoa, Arthropoda, Arachnida, Ixodida, Ixodidae.
UAUCGCACUUGACCUUAUACGUAAGCUCGCGGUAAAACCGACAGAUAUGUUUCGACGGUUGUACCCAUAUAACUGCUAUCGCAAAAUUCGCAAUAAACAGAAAAUUUUACUGAGGACCAACAACGCUGCUUCUCCACGUCGUAAUACAGCGGUGAACGAUAUUUCGGGAAAAUGUGUUGCUAAAUCUCCGUCAAACACUACGCUCGCCUUUGGUGACAGCGGAACGCAGUCGCAAGAAAUUGUGGAGGAAAUACCGGAGUUCUGGCAGCUUCAGGUGCACUUGAUUAUUCAGUAACGUCGGCGGCUUUGUAGUUAUACCUUACAUCAGAGCAAACUGCACUCGACAGAGAUCAAGGGCAGCCGCGCCGUUAUAGCUAAGCAAAUUAAGAACAAUUACGCCGCGUCUUCCCACUUCGAGCACGCUCCGACAGCCCAACGAUAGAUAUUUCAAACGUAACCGCACUCGGACGAGCAAAUUUUGCUUCUGCGAAGUGAACGUAGCGGGUAUUUCAAGACGCGUGUUAAACUCACGGCUGUUUCAUUCGUGAACAUUACUUACGUGACGUAAAAUUAUCAGUGAGCAAAACAGUUUUUGUUUCAACGCAAGAAAAGAGAACCGAAACUAGUUGCACGGAUUCAAAUGAUCCAAAGCCGAAGCCGUCAAUAGCAUGACGCCAUUUUUCAGUUGUGUUGCAUCUCGUGCGAGUACGUUGUCGUCGAGUGGUGGUUCUUUAUUCUAUGGAGUGGUUCUGAAAGCGCUGCGUUAGGGGCGACUGCAACCAGGCGUUGCGGCAAGUUACGGUGGGAACUUCUGUCCGUGCUGUGUGAUUGCGACGAGGACGACUGCCGCCAGCAGCGGCGUGUCGCCGAUUUCGUCUUUGCCGACAUCCAGCAAGUGCAGCUCGCCGGACCGUAACAUGCCCCGGAAGUGUUGCGUUUUGCACUGCAUUUUCCUUGUGAUAUGGGAGAUCGCAACGCAGAGACGACCAGAUGCAUACGAAAGACUACCAGCGGAGAGUGACCUGUGCCAUAUUUCUCUUAACCUCUCAGGUAUUCAAGAAAUGGCAACAUCCAGAAGAAGACGCCAUCUUAUCCAGCACGUUAUGGGUACACUCUGGUGGCUCCCGCCCCUGCAUCCUACCACCACCGUGUCCUCACUAUGUUCACUAGGGAGUUCGAAGCCUUUGGCGGCUCCUGCCACUGCGUCCUGCGACCACCGUGUCCUGACUACGUCCACUAGGGAGUUGGCAGCCUUCGUGAUGAUGCCAAGCAGGCUGGAAGCCGACAGAAAGAUUGAGGUUGCCUCGAAAUUUUACCCAAGCCGUGCCACACACUUGGGCCAGGCCUCUUGCAAACGACGUAUAACCAGGCUGAACGCAUGAUGUCGAGUGAGUCCGGAGAUCGAGGCAACCUGCUGUGCAACCUGCUGUGCAACCAGCAUGCAACCUUUGGUGACCCUCUACAUGUUCCACCUAUUUCACAGCUGCACUCAGCUUCCACCUAUCCAAACCGCAUCACCAGCUGUGGUCACUCAUCGAACCAUGGAUGAAUGUUGGGGUGGAGUGAUCUGAAGCGACAUUCUUUUCGUCUCUUCAAAUCCUUAGCAAAUACUUGUGUUAAUAUAAUUAAUAUGUGUCUUUAGUGCCUAGUUUUUAAUGGUUCCUUUCAAUUAGAAUUCUCGCCAUCGAUUCCUGCUAUUAUAAUACAUGUCUGUCUUUAUGCUCAGUUUUUCAUAGUUCUUUUGUACUUGUCUAUGUAAUUGAUAGGUUCAUACUUCUUGUUAUACAGAAGGCUAAAAUGCAAACUUACGGCAUUUUUUUCUUCCUAUUGAUAAUCUACAGCACUGCAAAGUGUUCGAGAAAUGUAACCCAAUGUGGGCUCUGGUGCAAGAAAAAUUUAAGAGCAAUAUAGAGUACUUAUUUCAAACACCCAUUAUUUUUGGAAAAGUAAAGAAUGUAGGAGCACAAAAAAGAAAAUAUUAAACUAGAGAAACAUGAGUUCCCCUCAUAAGUCUGAUAAUAAUGUGACUUCCCUUCACUGCAAAGAUACCAGUAAUAUACUCGCAUACAAGGUUUGAAACAAGAAAGCUAUGAUGCCCUUGGCAUUUCUCAGUGCCUAUUUGUCACACUGACGAAUGUCAAAGGCAUCGUAGGUGUCUUGUACACAUUGGUUUUGUUACACUUUUGAGUAUUGCAUUUCUCAAACCCAAAGGUUUACAGCAGUGCUUUAAAUAGGAAAUGCAUUUCCUAAUUUAUUAGUGCAAGAGGAACAGUACAGAUCAUGUAAAAAUUAUUUUACAGACUAUAUGUCCAUGGAUGCACGCUUCUGAUGACAUAGCAGUGACGUGGUCGUAGGAUGAAUGACUUUAUUUCAGAUUUAAAUAUUGGCUUUCAGGUCUGGGUUAGUCUCCUACACUGAAUAGUCUAGGUCAGAGCCCAUUUACUAGAGAAAGUGAAUUAAACUAGGAAUUAUAAACAUCAAAAGAUCUUGUUUAGGAAAUUAAUGUGACAAUCAGCAAGGUUCUGUGGGCAUUCAUUUCCAAAUUUGUAGGAUAUAUUUUAUGACUGGUUUCAUUAUUGUGAGAACAAAUAUUUUUUUAUUGUCACACUAGAGUUGGCUGCCCCCAUUUGUAUACAACCCCUUUACAGGCUAAAAAUUCAGUGUGUUACCCUAUUUACUCGCAUAAUGAUCGCACUUUAUUGUAAAAAAAAAUUGACUCAAAUUCAGGGGUGCAAUCAUUAUGCUGGCUAAAUUUCCCACAAAAAGAA